Molecule: long non-coding RNA, 995 nt
Filed under: Olea europaea subsp. europaea
Lineage: Eukaryota; Viridiplantae; Streptophyta; Magnoliopsida; Lamiales; Oleaceae
Source: RNAcentral
AAACGGCUGCUAGGGCCUAGGAGGAGAAAAAGGGCGUGGGAGAAUAACCUAAACAAAUAGUCUUCUUUGGGAGUCAAGAAAAAUGGCUGCUAGGGGAAGAAAAGAGGAGAAUUUGGGCGGCUGCUGGUAGAAAGAAAUUGAGUAACAGUAGGGCUGUUGAACUUUAUUAUAUAUACACAUUGGAGGCAGCUAACGGAGUUGUUGGGAAAUUAAAAAGGUAGCUGCUUGGAGGAAAAUAAAAGUUGGCGUUGGGCAUUGCAGGCUGUGGGAAGAAAGGAAAGGGAAGAAUUCUUGGGUCUUCGCUUUGGAAUUCAAUCACAGUGGCAGCCAACUUAAAGGAAGCAAAACGGGAGAAUAAUCUAGAGAAAAUUGGUCCCUUUUUGGUGUUAAAAAAAGGCAGCAGCUGGGAAAAUUAAUUAGAGAUAAACACAUACAAAAAGAGAUGCUGGGGGUCAACAUAUAUACAUACAAGCUGCCAAAUUUGGGCAGUAAAAAAAGAACAGAGCUGCUGGAAAGAAGGCAAAGAAAAUUGGCUGAUAUAUAUUUACAGCAAUUGUGGCGAAAAAUUGAAAGGAAUUGGAGACUAAUCUAUAGACAAAAAGGCAACCAAUUGAGGGAUUAAUACACGUUGAUACACACGGGAACCGAGAGGAAGAAAAACCAUAGAAAAGCUGCUUGGAAAUAAGAAAUUGAUUUCUCAUUGGAUUCCAAGAAAGGCUGCGGGCUGAGCUUUUUGUGCAACUUUCUUCAAGAAUUGUGCAAGGAGCUUGAAAAUUAAUCACCUUCCAUCGAAUCUUGAUGAUGUCUUUCCACUUUUAUGUCUUUAAUCUCAACAUUAUGUUAGGCUAAAUCUUUUCAUGUAUAUAUUGGAUGGAUGACAAAAUUGUUUAGUUCUUAAUUUUAAUUUAAGACUUUAGUUUUUAUGUUAAUACUUGCAUUGUGAUUUCAUUAAAAUGCAUAAUUACAUUGUUUUAAAGUUUACGCACCAUUAGGAC